GCAGAGAAGAUCUUCAAAGGACUCUGAAGACUCUGUGGGGAGGGGGUCACAGUUGCAGCUGCUGCCCCACCUCCACCAUGGACCCCCCCCUAGAUAACCCAGGAAAUUCUGAGGGACAACAGCCUACAAUGUCUAGCCACCACAAGGCCCUCCAGGACGGGAAGGCGGGAAGAGCAUGUGGCCAGGUGGAUGUAAAAUGGACUAGUGAGCCCAGGAAGACAGACAGGAGGAAAACCAUGACUUACACACGAAUGAAGAAUGAAAGUUCUUGGUCACACCUCCUCUUCCUAGGAUCCAGCCCCAAAAUGAAAAACUGGAAUCCCAGCUUCAAGGUUCCUCAAUCAGCGAAACUCUCAACUCAAAUUCCGCCUCCAUGUACUGCUACUGUUGUC
Cervus elaphus (red deer) is the source of this 392-nucleotide long non-coding RNA. RefSeq lists it as uncharacterized. The transcript is spliced from 3 exons. The record is from RefSeq and is a predicted model, not a curated record. Lineage: Eukaryota; Metazoa; Chordata; Mammalia; Artiodactyla; Cervidae.